UCUUGGAGAAUAUUUGGCUUGUUGCUGUGGUGGUUGUGUCACCUUCAUCAUACAGUUCUCUGCUUCAGGUGCUCGAGAUGAGCUUGUUGGCCUCUGCUGCAUUUACACACCCAGAGAGAGAGAGAGGUUUUUAGGGUUUUUGGUAGGGAGGUGGUGAGAGGGAAGAACGGGUAAGUGAAUUGUGGUUUGGAAGGUAUUUCUGUUGGUUAGGGAGUUGGGGUAUUCCCUUUCUGGGUUGGUUGGCUUUUUAACGACUUGGCUUUUUAGGCGGG
Molecule: unclassified non-coding RNA, 272 nt
Filed under: Hevea brasiliensis (rubber tree)
Lineage: Eukaryota; Viridiplantae; Streptophyta; Magnoliopsida; Malpighiales; Euphorbiaceae
Source: RNAcentral